GCGCUGUCCUGGCACUUUUGACCUUCGAUACGGAUCGAAGGUUGUGUCAGGGAAGCACGGUAGGGAAACAUGCGUCGCAGCCGUCUGCUACGCAGCACAUUAACUACC
Molecule: ribozyme, 108 nt
Filed under: unclassified sequences
Description: Hairpin ribozyme 1 from viruses-like metatranscriptomes
Rfam family: Hairpin ribozyme 1 from viruses-like metatranscriptomes
Source: Rfam by way of RNAcentral